RNAcentral lists this ribosomal RNA (481 nucleotides) under uncultured bacterium. Its description in RNAcentral is "partial 16S ribosomal RNA". It matches the Rfam family "Bacterial small subunit ribosomal RNA", at positions 28 to 507 of the family's 1533-position model. The record is from RNAcentral.
GACGAACGUUGGCGGCGUGCUUAAUACAUGCAAGUCCACUGAAGCAGUGGUAGCAAUAUCGCUGUGGAGGCGGCGCACGGGUGAGUAACACGUAGGUAAUCUGCCUUCAGGUCUGGCAUAACUCCGGGAAACCGGGGCUAAUAGCAGAUGAUGCAGCGGCUCGACAUCGAGACAGUUGUUAAAGCUAUGGCGCCUGAAGAUGAGCCUGCGUCUGAUUAGCUAGUUGGCGGGGUAACGGCCCACCAAGGCAACGAUCAGUAGCUGGUCUGAGAGGAUGAUCAGCCACAAGGGAACUGAGACACGGGCCAGAAUCCUACGGGAGGCAGCAGUAAGGAAUAUUGCUCAAUGGGAGAAAUCCUGAAGCAGCAACGCCGCGUGAGGGACGAAGGGCUUUGGAUUGUAAACCUCUGUAGUGAGAGAAAAAAAUCCCAAUCUUUGGGACAUGAUGGUAUCUCAAAAGUAAGCCCCGGCUAACUACGUG